RNAcentral lists this ribosomal RNA (253 nucleotides) under uncultured bacterium. RNAcentral's name for it is "partial 16S ribosomal RNA". It matches the Rfam family "Bacterial small subunit ribosomal RNA", at positions 524 to 776 of the family's 1533-position model. The record is from RNAcentral.
AACGUAGGGGGCGAGCGUUAUCCGGAAUCACUGGGCGUAAAGGGCGUCUAGGCGGUCGCUUAAGUCUCGUGUGAAAGCUCCCGGCUCAACUGGGAGAGGGCAUGGGAAACUGGGCAACUUGAGACUCGGAGGGGGGUGUGGAAUUCCCGGUGGAGUGGUGAAAUGCGUUGAGAUCGGGAGGAACACCUGUGGCGAAAGCGGCACCCUGGUCGAGGUCUGACGCUGAAGCGCGAAAGCGUGGGGAGCGAACGGG